Molecule: ribosomal RNA, 1806 nt
Filed under: Triticum aestivum (bread wheat)
Lineage: Eukaryota; Viridiplantae; Streptophyta; Magnoliopsida; Poales; Poaceae
Description: partial small subunit ribosomal RNA
Source: RNAcentral
AUGGCAGCAGCUUCCGUCGGCGCCACGGCAUCGCGAUUGCCGCGACCAAGCCACGAUCACUCCCUGGAAUUCUCACCCGGGGCUUCUUCCUCAUCAUCCUCACGCGCCGCGGACGCGCGGCCGCCGUCGUCGUGUGAUGGCGGCGCGGAGGAGGACGUGCCCGACCUGGACUUCCCGUGGGUCGCGGCGGCCGAGGCGGAGUCGAGGCUGGAGGAGGCCGCGAUCGCCGCGGCUGCGGCAGGACUCAACCUCUGCGCCGAGGACGAGGCAGAGGCGGAGGAGAUACGUGACAACCCGCAGCGGCAGGACGAUGAGCUGAUGGCACUAGAAGCAAUAUAUGGAGAUGACCUUGUUGAAUUUAAAAGCAGAGGAGGGCUCCGUUAUUUCCAGAUUUACAUACGUUACGAUCUGCCUGAUGGUGCUGAAGUGUGCGCUAAGCUUUUUUCCCUUGGUGAAAACUCAAAACAUGGAGGAUGUCCUGAUGGUGGUAACGAAGACCCUCAAAAUAGACCAGAUGAAUUCUCUUACACUAGCAACCUUGAGUACUUGCCUCCCUUGUUGUUGACAUGCUUACUUCCAAAAUCAUAUCCUAGCAAGGACCCACCAUAUUUCACUCUCACCGCUAAAUGGAUGGAUGGGCAUAAUGUUUCUCAACUCUGUGAGAUGCUUGAUUCCAUCUGGACAGAGCUGCCGGGGCAGGAAGUGGUAUAUCAGUGGGUUGAGUGGAUACACAAUUCUUCGUUGCCACAUCUCUGGCUUGAUGGCAAAAUAAUGUUAGGCCAAGACACCCCAACACCCAAAGUAGAUAUGCGUGCAAUCUCAAGAAGGGUCUCAUUGGAGUCUGUGAUCCCUUCAAUGCUCAGCUACUGUAGUAAGAAGCAUUACCAAGCUUUUCUUGAGGAUCUCCAUAUGUGCAUGAUAUGCCUCAACCAGAGCAUAGGUUCGAACUUCAUCAAGCUUCCAUGCCAGCACUUGUUUUGUGUGAAGUGCAUGGAGACAUUGUGCAGAAUGCAUGUGAAGGAAGGGAGUGUGUUCCAGUUGGUAUGCCCUGACACCAAGUGCAAUGCUUCCAUUCCACAACAUGUCUUAAAGCGGCUUCUUUGCGAAGAAGAAUUUGAACACUGGGAUAGGCUUGCUCUUGAGAAAGCUUUGGACUCGAUGGCAGAUGUAGUUUUCUGCCCAAAGUGCGUAAUUGGUUGCAUGGAAGACGAGGAUAACACUGCGCAGUGUCCGAAGUGUUCCUUCAUCUUCUGCUCGUUUUGUAAGGAGCUCUGGCAUCCAGGGAAGGAGUGCCUAACUCCAGAGCAAAAAAUCCAGCACCGGAAGGCAUCGGGUAGGAUGAGUGAGAGGGAGAUGGCGCAGGAACUGCUGAACAUUAAAGAACUAUAUAAAGAUGUUCGGUUAUGUCCCCAUUGUCGGAUGGCCAUCAGCAAAACUGCAGGCUGCAACAAAAUGACGUGCGUCAGCUGUGGGAAAUACUUUUGCUUCCGAUGUGGCAAGCCAGUCAAUGGCUACGAUCAUUUCAAGGAUUGCAAGCUCUUUGAGGCUUGGGAUAUUGCAGAAUGGGAGAGAGAAAUGGACCAAAUACAAAUAGGAAACCAGAUACGAGCCCAGCAGAAGCCAUUAGGUGGCAUCUUAAGAUGCCCAAAAUGCGGUGAGAGAAAUUUCAAGGAUGACGAGAAAUAUCUAUUUUGUUGGGCGUGCCGAGCCAGCUAUUGUCAACUCUGCAAACGGGUGGUCGAUAAUAAGAGGAUGAAGAGCGAGCAUUGGGGAUCAAUUGAGUGUCUGGGGCUUGAUAAAUUCUAG